UACAGAGGGUGCAAGCGUUGUUCGGAAUUAUUGGGCGUAAAGGGCGCGUAGGCGGUGCUGUAAGUCUGUAGUGAAAUCUCUGGGCUCAACUCAGAGUCUGCUAUAGAAACUGCAGUGCUAGAGUGUGGGAGAGGUGAGUGGAAUUCCCGGUGUAGCGGUGAAAUGCGUAGAUAUCGAGAGGAACACCAGUGGCGAAGGCGAGUCCCUGGACAGGUCCUGACGCUGAGGCACGAAAGCUAGGGGAGCAAACAGG
This 253-nucleotide ribosomal RNA is filed under the name uncultured bacterium. RNAcentral's name for it is "partial 16S ribosomal RNA". It matches the Rfam family "Bacterial small subunit ribosomal RNA", at positions 524 to 776 of the family's 1533-position model. The record is from RNAcentral.